UCCUCGAUGGUCUAACGGUUAUGAUUUCCGCUUGUCAAUCCUUAAUAGAGGAACAAGCGCGGGAGACCUGGGUUCGACUCCCAGUCGGGGAG
RNAcentral lists this transfer RNA (92 nucleotides) under Aspergillus sydowii CBS 593.65. It matches the Rfam family "tRNA". From Rfam's summary of the family: Transfer RNA (tRNA) molecules are approximately 80 nucleotides in length. Their secondary structure includes four short double-helical elements and three loops (D, anti-codon, and T loops). Further hydrogen bonds mediate the characteristic L-shaped molecular structure. tRNAs have two regions of fundamental functional importance: the anti-codon, which is responsible for specific mRNA codon recognition, and the 3' end, to which the tRNAs corresponding amino acid is attached (by aminoacyl-tRNA synthetases). tRNAs cope with the degeneracy of the genetic code in two manners: having more than one tRNA (with a specific anti-codon) for a particular amino acid; and 'wobble' base-pairing, i.e. permitting non-standard base-pairing at the 3rd anti-codon position. Lineage: Eukaryota; Fungi; Ascomycota; Eurotiomycetes; Eurotiales; Aspergillaceae. The record is from Rfam by way of RNAcentral.